ACACACGCACGCACCCACCCCACCCGGCUGCCGGACGCAAGCGUAAGUCAAGGACUUGCAUGCUAGAAUCAGACAGAAAAUCCAGAAAAGCCACGUUAUUUAACAGAACCCUACAAGGUCAGCUUUGAGUCAAAGCAGGACGGAGCCCUGACAGCAAUGUUUGCUACGGCCUCCCUCUGCAGUCAGCCUAAAGCAAGGAGCUGGAGGUAGAUGAGGCAAAGGUAAAGGAGACCAAAACAGUAUUUUAAAGAAAAAAUCAUUUAUCUUCAAAUAGGCUCCAAACCUAAGAUGGUGUAUACUGUUAGAGGACAAGAACCUGCUUCUAGCCAUCUUUGCGUCUCCAGGACCUGACUUGUGACCAUUCAAUAAGAGUUUGAUAGAUGGACAGACUAAUGAAUAGAUGAAGAUGAUUAGAAGCCAAAAUUUCUGAAUCUUCCUAGCACCCAGAACAUGGCUUAACAUCAAGGAAAUGCUCACUAAAUACUGUCAUAAUGGAAUGAAUGGAACCGAUGCCUAAUUGAAAAUCAUUAGGCUGUAAACCAUUUCCAUGUUCCAAUUUCUUCGUUUAUAGAACAGAAAUGAUAGUGUAACCACCUGAAAAUCCUUCACCUAGACUUCCAAAACCACACCCACCUCAUCAAUGAAGUCUGACUCUCUAGAAAGAAGCAAAUGACUGAAAUCAUGGUCCUGUGCCUUGACCAAAAUACCAUUCGUCAGAACAAAAGAAGUAGGUCAGUGAAACGGCAUUAGUAUAUCCUUCAACAGGCAAAUAAGUGAUAGUGUAGUUUGCUUUUGAAGUCGCUGUGAAAAGUUUUAGGUGAACAUCACCUACACCACAUUAAAAAUGGAAUCAAGUCAUUUUCUUUAAGAAAUGGAGUUUGAGAUAUGAGAAUUCUUUUGGGCUUUUUCUACUUAUUGGCCAAUUAUACACCCAGAUAUAUUUCUGCAAUAUUUCAAAGAUUCUAGUUCUAAUUUGUAUAAUAAAAAAAAUUAACAGCCUUUUCCAGACCACAUGUUUCCAACAAGACCUUCAAAGGCCUCGCUCGCUAUAUAAAACUGGCUUUAAACAAUUUCCUUUCCCAAAGAAGGAAAUAAGAUAUUUCGGUUUUGUAAAAGAGGCAAAACCAGGUACAGGCCACCUUUCCUGCUGGAGAGCUGGCAUAAGUGAGUGGAUUCUUAAUUACUAUUUUACCUGCGGGGCAUAAUUACUUACGUGGAGUGAAAUAAGGAGCCGUCCUUUUCUAAGUAGCCUUCAUAGUGGACCAACAUCAAAUCCCCUCCUUUGGUCUUGCGAUGGCAGAUGAAUGGCUUCUGGAGAACUUCAAUUUUCACUUCUGGUUCAGGGAUCAAAGCCCCAAUCAAAGAAGUGACGAACAGAGUCAAGACCGCGUUCCACAAGAAAAGCCUCAUGUUGCUGAAGCAAGGAAAGAAGUCCCUACAAAAGCAGCGAAAGGUCCCUCGACUUCAUAGAUUUAAGAACGUAGUUCAAGGCUUACGGACAAGGGCUUCAGACAAGUUCAGGACUCCCCCUUCUUAGAAGACGUGGCACAUUUACCACCAACUCUUUUCUCAAGGGUCACGAACCUACCUUUAAAGAGUUAAGCCCAAAUGCCGGCCUGACUGGCUCUUAUAACGCGGCCGCCUGGGAAUAGCAGCCUCCCAUUGGCUAUUGGUGCUGUCCUUCAGGCAGCUCUCAAGCCAAUGACGCUGCAACGAUGGAAUUUACAGCCCGGUAGAGCCGGGCAGCUGCCAAGCGGCGGAUCAUCCCUUGUGGUCCUAGAGCCCGGUGGAUUUCAGCAUUCAACCAGCGUGGAUUUUGGGAGAGGGGCGGGGCGCAGAGCCAACCGGAAACUCCUCCGGCUGAUUUAUCUCUGUGAAGAACCCUGCUGAGAGACGUAGGAAGAGUCCCGGGGCCCUAUGAAAUCUUCGGGGUUCCAGGAAAGACUCGUUUACUCUCGCCGUUGGAGAGCGGCCCCCCAAGAUGCCACAAUCCUAGGAUUUUGCUAUUGCUUAUAAACUGUAAAGACUGACAUACUGCUUGAGGGUUCACAAAGCGCGUUCCCGUUGCAUGAACCUCACUACACCCAGUAAGGCAGGUUCUUUUUUCCCAUUUAAAAGAGAAGUAAAUUUACACCAGGAGAUA
Molecule: long non-coding RNA, 2143 nt
Filed under: Homo sapiens (human)
Lineage: Eukaryota; Metazoa; Chordata; Mammalia; Primates; Hominidae
Description: FKBP14 antisense RNA 1 (FKBP14-AS1)
Source: RNAcentral